This 583-nucleotide ribosomal RNA is filed under the name uncultured bacterium. RNAcentral describes it as "bacterial SSU rRNA". It matches the Rfam family "Bacterial small subunit ribosomal RNA", at positions 113 to 683 of the family's 1533-position model. The record is from RNAcentral.
ACACGUGGGUAACCUGCCCAAGAGAUCGGGAUAACACCUGGAAACAGAUGCUAAUACCGGAUAACAACAGAUGAUGCCUAUCAACUGUUUAAAAGAUGGUUCUGCUAUCACUCUUGGAUGGACCUGCGGUGCAUUAGCUAGUUGGUAGGGUAACGGCCUACCAAGGCGAUGAUGCAUAGCCGAGUUGAGAGACUGAUCGGCCACAUUGGGACUGAGACACGGCCCAAACUCCUACGGGAGGCAGCAGUAGGGAAUCUUCCACAAUGGACGCAAGUCUGAUGGAGCAACGCCGCGUGAGUGAAGAAGGGUUUCGGCUCGUAAAGCUCUGUUGUUGGUGAAGAAGGACGGGGGUAGUAACUGACCUUUGUUUGACGGUAAUCGAUUAGAAAGUCACGGCUAACUACGUGCCAGCAGCCGCGGUAAUACGUAGGUGGCAAGCGUUGUCCGGAUUUAUUGGGCGUAAAGCGAGUGCAGGCGGUUCGAUAAGUCUGAUGUGAAAGCCUUCGGCUCAACCGGAGAAUUGCAUCAGAUACUGUCGAGCUUGAGUACAGAAGAGGAGAGUGGAACUCCAUGUGUAGCGGUG